Molecule: ribosomal RNA, 460 nt
Filed under: uncultured bacterium
Lineage: Bacteria
Description: partial 16S ribosomal RNA
Rfam family: Bacterial small subunit ribosomal RNA
Source: RNAcentral
CCUACGGGUGGCAGCAGUGAGGAAUAUUGGUCAAUGGACGAGAGUCUGAACCAGCCAAGUAGCGUGAAGGAUGACUGCCCUAUGGGUUGUAAACUUCUUUUAUAUGGGAAUAAAACGUUCCACGUGUGGGAUUUUGUAUGUACCAUAUGAAUAAGGAUCGGCUAACUCCGUGCCAGCAGCCGCGGUAAUACGGAGGAUCCGAGCGUUAGCCGGAUUUAUUGGGUUUAAAGGGAGCGUAGGUGGAUUGUUAAGUCAGUUGUGAAAGUUUUCGGCUCAACCGUAAAAUUGCAGUUGAAACUGGCAGUCUUGAGUACAGUAGAGGUGGGCGGAAGUCGUGGUGUAGCGGUGAAAUGCUUAGAUAUCACGAAGAACUCCGAUUGCGAAGGCAGUUCACUGGACUGCAACUGACACUGAGGCUCGAAAGUGUGGGUAUCAAACAGGAUUAGAUACCCGUGUAGUC